GUGGCGCUGUGCAUGCUGAUGAGCAGCCAGAUGUGAACCGCACAGCAAGGAGGUAUUUAUAUUUGGAAAAAGAAAAAAGAGUGAGGACAGGUGAGGACAAAGCUUUCAAAGAACUCCAGCGCUGAUGGUGCUGCGCUGCUGCCGUCUCAAGAUGGCCGCUUAAAAGCAGGAAGCACCAGCGUGACCACACAAUGCAGAGAAGAUCUCCCUGGUGGGGUCGUCCAGGAUGGAGCAGAUGAAGUCGUCGUCGUCCUCCUCCUCGUCUGUGGUGAGGGACGUCAGACGCUGUGCGAUCGGCGGCCGGGUGGCGCUCCCCUCCUCCUCCAUGCUGAACAUCAGGUCGUCCUCCAUCGUGUCCACUGUGGAUUCUAAAAAGACCAGACAGCUUAUGAGCAGUGUUUGGUUCAGAAUUAGGCUAAAAAUGCUAUUGAUCAAAAAAACAAACACAUAAAAAGUGGAUCAAAAGAGCAAACAGUUGAAAUGUAACGAUAAAAAGUUGCAAUGUUGACUCUAAUAACACAAAGCUGCCAUG
Nerophis ophidion (straightnose pipefish) is the source of this 532-nucleotide long non-coding RNA. RefSeq lists it as uncharacterized. The transcript is spliced from 3 exons. The record is from RefSeq and is a predicted model, not a curated record. Lineage: Eukaryota; Metazoa; Chordata; Actinopteri; Syngnathiformes; Syngnathidae.